Molecule: ribosomal RNA, 372 nt
Filed under: uncultured organism
Description: bacterial SSU rRNA
Rfam family: Bacterial small subunit ribosomal RNA
Source: RNAcentral
CGGGGGGAGCAAGCGUUGUUCGGAAUCACUGGGCGUAAAGGGAGUCUAGGCGGUUUGGUAAGUGGGAUGUGAAAUCCCCGGGCUCACCCCGGGACCUGCAUCCCAAACUGCUGAGCUUGAGUACAGGAGAGGGUGGGGGAAUUCCAGGUGUAGCGGUGAAAUGCGUAGAUAUCUGGAGGAACACCGGUGGCGAAGGCGCCCACCUGGCCUGCUACUGACGCUGAAGCUCGAAAGCUAGGGGAGCAAACGGGAUUAGAUACCCCGGUAGUCCUAGCCGUAAACGGUGAUCACUAGGUGUUGGGAGCAUCGACCCUACCAGUGCCGCAGCUAACGCAUUAAGUGAUCCGCCUGGGGAGUACGGCCGCAAGGUUG